GCACUAGCUACGGCAGUACAUAUGCUAAAAUUGGAACAGUAUAGAGAUUAGCAUGGCCCCUGCGCAAGGAUAACAUCCAAAUUCUUGAAGCGUUUCAUAUUCUU
Small nuclear RNA from Octopus sinensis (East Asian common octopus), 104 nucleotides. The record is from RefSeq and is a predicted model, not a curated record. Lineage: Eukaryota; Metazoa; Mollusca; Cephalopoda; Octopoda; Octopodidae.